UACGUAGGGUGCAAGCGUUGUCCGGAAUUAUUGGGCGUAAAGAGCUCGUAGGCGGUUUGUCGCGUCGAAUGUGAAAACCCGGGGCUCAACCCCGGGCCUGCAUUCGAUACGGGCAUACUAGAGUUCGGUAGGGGAGUCUGGAAUUCCUGGUGUAGCGGUGAAAUGCGCAGAUAUCAGGAGGAACACCGGUGGCGAAGGCGGGACUCUGGGCCGAUACUGACGCUGAGGAGCGAAAGCGUGGGGAGCAAACAGG
RNAcentral lists this ribosomal RNA (253 nucleotides) under uncultured bacterium. Its description in RNAcentral is "partial 16S ribosomal RNA". It matches the Rfam family "Bacterial small subunit ribosomal RNA", at positions 524 to 776 of the family's 1533-position model. The record is from RNAcentral.